Molecule: ribosomal RNA, 385 nt
Filed under: marine Metazoa environmental sample
Lineage: Eukaryota; Metazoa
Description: SSU rRNA
Rfam family: Eukaryotic small subunit ribosomal RNA
Source: RNAcentral
AGCUCCAAUAGCGUAUAUUAAAGUUGCUGCAGUUAAAAAGCUCGUAGUUGGAUCUCGGGGUACCUGGUCUAGCCGGUAUAGCUCACGCUAAAACUGGUCUGACCCCCAACCGGAGGGAUUUCUUCUCGGGUGGACCUUCUUUGGUGCCUGUGAGGGGCCUCGUAGUUACUGUGAAAAAAUUAGAGUGUUCAAAGCAGGCUCAUAUGUUCGGAUAGUCGUGCAUGGAAUAACUGAAUACGUGACUGGCGCUUUUCAGUUGGUCUCGGCGACUGGUCAAAUGAUUAAGAGGGACUGCCGGGGGCAUUGGUAUGGCGGGGUUAGAGGUGAAAUUCUUGGAUCCUCGCCAGACCAACAAAAGCGAAAGCAUUUGCCAAGAAUGUCUUCA